UACGUAGGGGGCAAGCGUUAUCCGGAUUUACUGGGUGUAAAGGGAGCGUAGACGGCAUAGCAAGUCUGAAGUGAAAGGCUGGGGCUCAACCCCGGGACUGCUUUGGAAACUGUUAGGCUGGAGUGCAGGAGAGGUAAGUGGAAUUCCUAGUGUAGCGGUGAAAUGCGUAGAUAUUAGGAGGAACACCAGUGGCGAAGGCGGCUUACUGGACUGUAACUGACGUUGAGGCUCGAAAGCGUGGGGAGCAAACAGG
RNAcentral lists this ribosomal RNA (253 nucleotides) under uncultured bacterium. RNAcentral describes it as "partial 16S ribosomal RNA". It matches the Rfam family "Bacterial small subunit ribosomal RNA", at positions 524 to 776 of the family's 1533-position model. The record is from RNAcentral.